This 431-nucleotide ribosomal RNA is filed under the name uncultured bacterium. RNAcentral's name for it is "partial 16S ribosomal RNA". It matches the Rfam family "Bacterial small subunit ribosomal RNA", at positions 29 to 507 of the family's 1533-position model. The record is from RNAcentral.
AACGAACGCUGGCGGCAGGCCUAACACAUGCAAGUCGAGCGCCCCGCAAGGGGAGCGGCGGACGGGUGAGUAACGCGUGGGAAUAUGCCCUUUGCUACGGAAUAGUCUCGGGAAACUGGGGGUAAUACCGUAUACGCCCUUUGGGGGAAAGAUUUAUCGGCGAAGGAUUAGCCCGCGUUGGAUUAGGUAGUUGGUGGGGUAAUGGCCUACCAAGCCGACGAUCCAUAGCUGGUGUGAGAGGAUGAUCAGCCACACUGGGACUGAGACACGGCCCAGACUCCUACGGGAGGCAGCAGUAGGGAAUCUUAGACAAUGGGGGCAACCCUGAUCUAGCCAUGCCGCGUGAGUGAUGAAGGCCUUAGGGUUGUAAAUCUCUUUCAGCUGGGAAGAUAAUGACGGUACCAGCAGAAGAAGCCCCGGCUAACUCCGUG